This 340-nucleotide ribosomal RNA is filed under the name uncultured eukaryote. RNAcentral's name for it is "SSU rRNA". It matches the Rfam family "Eukaryotic small subunit ribosomal RNA", at positions 25 to 381 of the family's 1831-position model. The record is from RNAcentral.
AGCAUACGCUUGUCUCAAAGAUUAAGCCAUGCAUGUCUAAGUAUAAACAACUCUAUACUGUGAAACUGCGAAUGGCUCAUUAUAUCAGUUUUCGUCUAUUUGAUGGUUCUUGCUACUUGGAUAACCGUAGUAAUUCUAGAGCUAAUACAUGCAUCAAUGCCUUUGGGCUGUAUUUAUUAGAUUGAAGCCAAUGCGGGGCAACCCGGAUCCAGGUGAUUCAUAAUAACUUUCGGAUCGAUUUUUUAUCGAUGCAUCAUUCGAGAUUCUGCCCUAUCAGCUUUGGACGGUAAGGUAUUGGCUUACCGUGGCAUUAACGGGUAACGGAGAAUUAGGGUUCGAU